Molecule: ribosomal RNA, 434 nt
Filed under: uncultured Saccharofermentans sp.
Lineage: Bacteria; Bacillati; Bacillota; Clostridia; Eubacteriales; Oscillospiraceae
Description: bacterial SSU rRNA
Rfam family: Bacterial small subunit ribosomal RNA
Source: RNAcentral
ACGGAAGGCAGCAGUGGGGAAUAUUGCACAAUGGGCGCAAGCCUGAUGCAGCGAUGCCGCGUGAGGGAAGAAGGUUUUCGGAUUGUAAACCUCUGUCAACAGGGACGAAAAUGACGGUACCUGUGAAGGAAGCUCCGGCUAACUACGUGCCAGCAGCCGCGGUAAUACGUAGGGAGCAAGCGUUAUCCGGAUUUACUGGGUGUAAAGGGCGUGUAGGCGGCUCUGCAAGUCAGAAGUGAAAUUCCCGGGCUCAACCUGGGCGCUGCUUCUGAAACUGCAGAACUUGAGUACUGGAGGGGAAAGCGGAAUUCCUAGUGUAGCGGUAAAAUGCGCAGAUAUUAGGAGGAACACCGGUGGCGAAGGCGGCUUUCUGGACAGUAACUGACGCUGAGGCGCGAAAGCGUGGGGAGCAAACAGGAUUAGAUACCCUGGUA